UUCCAAAAAAUUGUUAAGAUGCAACAGAAACACCAAUUGAAAGUCCAAAUCAUGUUGCAUAAUUAAAAUUAGCAAUUCUAGGAAAUUCUCAUCAACUUACUUAAAUGAAAAUUAAUCGAAUAUUAUCUUGAUUCAAUCAUAUACCUACUCUAUGCAUCACGACAUCUGAAGUGUCAUUACACAUGACAUACAAAUCAACUACAAUUAUCCAAAGCUACAAUUAUACAAAACCUCAAACGAACAAUUACUCUAAAUCAACUACAACUGUUUCACAAAUUCAAUUAUACUCUGUGUAGCUAACAAAGUUUAUAGAUUAACAACUAACCAAUUCCCAUUCAAUGUUCAGUUUAGUACAAAUCAGUCAAUCCAAUUAACAGCCUAGGAAAUAUGCAUCAAAAGAAAAUGAAUUGAAUCUAAUACAAAAGCAUUCAUUACAGUUGAACAAACUUGUAUGAGGAGACCGAUGAACAUUUUAUUUCAUUUAUCAACUUCAAAGCUACAUUGAGCUGAAUUCGAAUAUGCACCUGGAGUAUGAAAUAGAUACAGGAAUGGAAGUCAGUUGAAGCAGGGAAACAAGUAGCAACAAUUUGAAUUCAAAUGGCCCAAAAAUAUAACAAAUCUUCAACCCAAAAAUAAGUAUAGAUCCAGAAAUAUUUUGAAAUCAAGAAACAACACUCAAAUAAACCCAGAAUCACUUGUAAACCAAUCAGUGAAUCCCGAACAAACCAGGAGACAAAAUGCUGAACCAAAUAAAAUACCACUCAGUAACUAGAAAUCAAUGGAACAGUAUAUUCUUUCGAUUUUCUGAAGGUUUCUAUUGUUUUUAGAAAAAGAAACCGACUCAAAGCUCUCUAACACUGAUGAUAAAAACCGUUCUAAAGAAGUUCCGAAAAACAAUGAUUUCCUUUAAUUUUUGAACCUCUCAAGACAUUUUCUAAAACUGAUAACUGAAAAGAAAACUCUCAAGCACAAUCAUUGAAAAACUCUCAAUUUCUCUUAACCGAUUCUUCUCAAAUGACCUCUAUUUAUACCAUAGGCACUCGCCUUUUUCAGCUCAUGUUCUUUCACUUUUACCUAUUAUCGUUACUCUUUUACUCCUUUUACUUUCCAACUACUAUAUUCCCUCUCCUAUGUAUAUUCUUUUAGCUUUUAUCAUUACCUAUACUAUUCCUAAUUUCAAUUAAGCAAACACUCUCAUUACUUAGUGGUCCAAACACCCUAGGAUCCUACCGUCACUGCCCUGAUUCAAAAUAGUAAGUAUAACCCCUUUAAAUUACAACUAACACUGAUUAUUAACUAUUUAAACAACUACACAGCUAUAACCAAUCCUUAAGUCACAACGGUUCAAAGAAGAAUUGAAGCAGGAAAGAGGUUCAUAUGAAAAUAUGCAGAACAUGGGUGACAUACAAAUGAAUUAAGAAGUUUGGUUUAAGGAGGAAAACUUAAUGCACCAACAAACUCAUCACAAUCACAAAAAUCAGAACAAAAAGAAAAAGAUGAUUAAACAUAC
This 1510-nucleotide long non-coding RNA is filed under the name Nicotiana benthamiana. RNAcentral describes it as "long non-coding RNA (NBEN_LNC033015)". Lineage: Eukaryota; Viridiplantae; Streptophyta; Magnoliopsida; Solanales; Solanaceae. The record is from RNAcentral.